GACGAACGCUGGCGGCGUGCCUAAUACAUGCAAGUAGAACGCACAGUUUAUACCGUAGCUUGCUACACCAUAGACUGUGAGUUGCGAACGGGUGAGUAACGCGUAGGUAACCUGCCUGGUAGCGGGGGAUAACUAUUGGAAACGAUAGCUAAUACCGCAUAAUAUUGAUUAUUGCAUGAUAAUUGAUUGAAAGAUGCUAUUGCAUCACUACCAGAUGGACCUGCGUUGUAUUAGCUAGUAGGUGAGGUAACGGCUCACCUAGGCGACGAUACAUAGCCGACCUGAGAGGGUGAUCGGCCACACUGGGACUGAGACACGGCCCAGACUCCUACGGGAGGCAGCAGUAGGGAAUCUUCGGCAAUGGACGAAAGUCUGACCGAGCAACGCCGCGUGAGUGAAGAAGGUUUUCGGAUCGUAAAGCUCUGUUGUAAGAGAAGAAUGGGUGUGAGAGUGGAAAGUUCACACUGUGACGGUAUCUUACCAGAAAGGGACGGCUAACUACGU
Molecule: ribosomal RNA, 504 nt
Filed under: uncultured bacterium
Lineage: Bacteria
Description: partial 16S ribosomal RNA
Rfam family: Bacterial small subunit ribosomal RNA
Source: RNAcentral